RNAcentral lists this ribosomal RNA (320 nucleotides) under uncultured eukaryote. RNAcentral's name for it is "partial 18S ribosomal RNA". It matches the Rfam family "Eukaryotic small subunit ribosomal RNA", at positions 1470 to 1796 of the family's 1831-position model. The record is from RNAcentral.
CCCCUAGAUGUUCUGGGCCGCACGCGCGCUACACUGAACAGUUCAACAAGUCUUAACCUUGGCCGAUAGGUCUGGGUAAUCUUUGAACGCUGUUCGUGAUUGGGAUAGACCUUUGCAAUUAUGGGUCUUCAACGAGGAAUUCCUAGUAAACGCAAGUCAUCAGCUUGCAUUGAUUACGUCCCUGCCCUUUGUACACACCGCCCGUCGCACCUACCGAUUGAAUGGUCCGGUGAAAUCUCGGGACGGCGGCUCGGUCGCUUGCGUCCGACUGCUGAAACUUGAUUAAACCAUAUCAUUUAGAGGAAGGGGAAGUCGUAACA